UUCCUACGGGAGGCAGCAGUAGGGAAUUUUCGUCAAUGGGCGCAAGCCUGAACGAGCAAUGCCGCGUGAACGAGGAAGGUCUUCGGAUCGUAAAGUUCUGUUGAAGGGGAAAAAGAGCGGAGAGAGGAAAUGCUUUCUGAUUGAUAUUACCCUUCGAGGAAGUCACGGCUAACUACGUGCCAGCAGCCGCGGUAAUACGUAGGUGGCGAGCGUUAUCCGGAUUUAUUGGGUUUAAAGGGUGCGUAGGCGGUCCGGAAAGUCAGCGGUAAAAGCCCGGGGCUCAACCCCGGCGAGCCGUUGAAACU
RNAcentral lists this ribosomal RNA (305 nucleotides) under uncultured bacterium. Its description in RNAcentral is "bacterial SSU rRNA". It matches the Rfam family "Bacterial small subunit ribosomal RNA", at positions 336 to 634 of the family's 1533-position model. The record is from RNAcentral.